Amphiprion ocellaris (clown anemonefish) is the source of this 443-nucleotide long non-coding RNA. RefSeq lists it as uncharacterized. The record is from RefSeq and is a predicted model, not a curated record. The transcript has 4 exons. NCBI's taxonomy places the organism in Eukaryota, Metazoa, Chordata, Actinopteri, Pomacentridae.
GGACAUUUUCUGCACAAGUCCGCACAUUGGAAGCAUGCUUCUUCCAGUCAGGGCAGCUAUCUGCGGAGGAUUAGCACUGAAUAUGAUUGUAAAUUUAAAGUCAUCCAUUUUUUCUAGUCAUUAUUAUUAUUGUUACUAUACAUGACUGGAUCUUGCAGUUAUAUUGUAUUGGGUAUGAAUUUUGCACAGCUUUUAUCUUGUGCAUGUUGGAACAGCCUGACUAGGCCGCAUCGAUGUGGAAAAACACAAAAAUGAAGCUGCUGAUGAACUAGUGUUUCUGCACGUCCACGUGGGUCCCACAUGAAGCUUUAUUAUUAUGGAGCCGGAUCUGUGAACUAAAGCACAGGAUCCGAUUGCUGAAGAAAUGGAUUAAGGUGACACUCGAAUAAACACGUUUUUCUGUUAUUUUCCUGUUCAUUUUUCAAUAAAGCAUUAAUCCACAA